RNAcentral lists this ribosomal RNA (249 nucleotides) under uncultured bacterium. RNAcentral's name for it is "partial 16S ribosomal RNA". It matches the Rfam family "Bacterial small subunit ribosomal RNA", at positions 524 to 757 of the family's 1533-position model. The record is from RNAcentral.
UACAGAGGGUGCAAGCGUUAAUCGGAAUUACUGGGCGGUAAAGCGUGCGUAUGACGGUUAUUUAAGUCAGGUGAUUGAAAGCCCCGGGCUACAACCUGGGAAUUGCAUUUGACGUACUGAAUGAGCCUAGGGUGCGGAAGAGGGAAUGCGGGAAUUUCCGGUGUAUGCGGUGGAAAUGACGUAGAUAUCGGAAGGAACACCAGUGGCGAAAGCGCUUCCGUGGUCCAGCACCGACGUUCAAGGCACGAA